GCUGGGGCGUGCCUUAUAAUGCAAGUCGAGCGGACAGAUGGGAGCUUGCUCCCUGAUGUUAGCGGCGGACGGGUGAGUAACACGUGGGUAACCUGCCUGUAAGACUGGGAUAACUCCGGGAAACCGGGGCUAAUACCGGAUGGUUGUUUGAACCGCAUGGUUCAGACAUAAAAGGUGGCUUCGGCUACCACUUACAGAUGGACCCGCGGCGCAUUAGCUAGUUGGUGAGGUAACGGCUCACCAAGGCAACGAUGCGUAGCCGACCUGAGAGGGUGAUCGGCCACACUGGGACUGAGACACGGCCCAGACUCCUACGGGAGGCAGCAGUAGGGAAUCUUCCGCAAUGGACGAAAGUCUGACGGAGCAACGCCGCGUGAGUGAUGAAGGUUUUCGGAUCGUAAAGCUCUGUUGUUAGGGAAGAACAAGUGCCGUUCAAAUAGGGCGGCACCUUGACGGUACCUAACCAGAAAGCCACGGCUAACUACGUGCCAGCAGCCGCGGUAAUACGUAGGUGGCAAGCGUUGUCCGGAAUUAUUGGGCGUAAAGGGCUCGCAGGCGGUUUCUUAAGUCUGAUGUGAAAGCCCCCGGCUCAACCGGGGAGGGUCAUUGGAAACUGGGGAACUUGAGUGCAGAAGAGGAGAGUGGAAUUCCACGUGUAGCGGUGAAAUGCGUAGAGAUGUGGAGGAACACCAGUGGCGAAGGCGACUCUCUGGUCUGUAACUGACGCUGAGGAGCGAAAGCGUGGGGAGCGAACAGGAUUAGAUACCCUGGUAGUCCACGCCGUACACGAUGAGUGCUAA
This 800-nucleotide ribosomal RNA is filed under the name Bacillus velezensis. RNAcentral describes it as "bacterial SSU rRNA". It matches the Rfam family "Bacterial small subunit ribosomal RNA", at positions 35 to 819 of the family's 1533-position model. Lineage: Bacteria; Bacillati; Bacillota; Bacilli; Caryophanales; Bacillaceae. The record is from RNAcentral.